GGGCACAUGGUCUAGGGGUAUGAUUUUCGCUUCGCAUCGCCGAGAAUGUGACUGUGAAAGGUCCGGGGUUCAAAUCCCCGUGUGUCCA
This is a non-coding RNA of Cladophialophora chaetospira, 88 nucleotides long. The record is from the annotation of a GenBank genome assembly. Lineage: Eukaryota; Fungi; Ascomycota; Eurotiomycetes; Chaetothyriales; Herpotrichiellaceae.